UUUCAAAAUAAUCAGCUUGCCUUUUAAUUUGGCUCUUACGACUAAUAAAACAUUAGACUUCACCACAUUCACACGUAAAGGUUGGUAUGCAAGUCUUCCUUCUUUAAUGACCACACAGCUCAUGUCACAUUAUUAUUUAUUAUUUUAGAUAAAGAAAUGCCAAUAAUUGAGAUUUCCCAUUGUUUAUUCAAAGAAUGCAAAGCGUGCAGCAGCUCUGUCUUUUUUCCUUCUUUUGAGGAUAGAGAAAGAGGAUCCAGGGCAAGAACAUUAAGUUAUAAGGGGCUAGUUUGAUGGGAGUUAGGACACCCUUGUCCUAAAUCAUGUCUUUAAUUAUUGUGUGACAGGUUCCACGUCCACUCCUCGCGACUGAUCCCGAGGCUUUGUUGUUGAGUGUCUAGGGUGAGCAUGCUUGAUGGAUCCGCAGCCCGGAGACUUUUUCUUUAUACUUGUCUUUUCUUGCAUUCUGAGACAGUAUUUGUAUUUUGAGAUUUUGUAUUAUUCCAGACUUGUAGUUGAUUAGUAGUGGCUCUUGUACUGUAUUCAGACCAGUUCCUUGGGGUUCUAUUAGUGUUGUAUUUCGCACUUAUUUAUAUUUACAUUUGAGACUUA
Long non-coding RNA from Lycium barbarum (goji berry), 609 nucleotides. RefSeq lists it as uncharacterized. Lineage: Eukaryota; Viridiplantae; Streptophyta; Magnoliopsida; Solanales; Solanaceae. The transcript has 2 exons. The record is from RefSeq and is a predicted model, not a curated record.